AUUGAGAAACAAGUUAAUAAGAUUGAUGAACAAGUACAUAGCUUACUUUUUGGACAUGAUGACAGGCUAGUUGCUUACCAUUUUAUUGUACAUGCAUUCAUAUAUUUAUGAUUGGGCAUAGUAGUAUAGCUUCACUAUCCUAUCUUUACAGCUUUCCAUAUCUAUCUAUCGAUUAUCUACUUUUGCCCGCUUGGACCUAGUGGGGAGCUCGGCGGAGUCGGCGGCCGAACCCACUGGGAACUAAGGAAGUUAGUUCUCACCCCUAUUUUACUACAGGGCCGAGCGCGAGUUCACACGGCGAGGAUCGCGGUAAGGGCCUAGCGCCCUAGUUGCAUUAGCUAUCCACCCCUUUUGCAUUAGCUCUACCUUUUUAUUAUGUUUGAGAGUAGAUGAUGUAUAGGGUGAGGUUUGAGAGAUUGUACUUAUAUUUUGGAAGAAUGUUAAAGAUGUAAGUAAAUGUAUUGAGUUAAAUGAAUGCAAUAGGUAGCAUCUUCUCUCUUUAUGUACUUGUAUAUUUUCAUACUUGUAUCUUGCUCUCGUUUUGUUAGCACUAGUGGUGCUUCUCGAUCGUGUAUUUAUGAAUAGAUUCCUGGGCAAAUUCUUGUACAUGAUCGUUCGCUUAGCCUUGGGCGGACAGGGGAGACUCUGUCCGUUCGGCGUCUGUUCGACGUGCCCGGGCCGGACCGAAUUGGUAGCGGUCGCGGGGCGUGACAUGCAGGGCCGAGCGCGAGUUCACCCGACGAGGAUCGCGGUAAGGGCCUAGCGCCCUAGUUGCAUUAGCUUACUUUCCUAUACAUUAGAGCUACCCGAUGUAUUUUGAGAGUGUAGAUGAUGUAUAGGGUGUGAGGUUUCAUUUUGAAAAUGUAAGCUUAUGUUAUAUUUUGGAAGUUUAAAUGUAAAUUGAUGUAUUAAAGAGGUUCAAUGAAUAUAAUAGAUAGAUGUCCUCUCUUUAUUGUUACUUGUAUGCCGUAUACUUGUACCUUGCUCUUAUCUGUUAGCACUUGUCGUGCUCCUCGUGAUCGUGUAUGCAUGAAUUGAUUCCUGGGUAAAUUCUUGUACAUGAUCAUUUGCUUGGCCUUGGGCGGACAGGGGAGGUGCUGUCCGCUCGGCGUCUGUUUGACGCGCCCGAACCGGACCGAAUUGGUUUCGGGGUCGGGGUGUGACAAGACUGUUCAGUUGCGCUCUAACAGUACAACUUUGCAAACAGUACUUUUUCUCAUUUAAUCGAAUAAAGAGUAAAACCUAAUUAUAUUGUUCUAUUAUGCCCCAAGAGUUUAAAUUUGCAACGUAUCGAUGUCAACGUUCACAAGAACCAAAACCGGAACAACAUUAGACUACUCAGUUGCGGCC
This 1350-nucleotide long non-coding RNA is filed under the name Ananas comosus (pineapple). RNAcentral describes it as "long non-coding RNA (ACOM_LNC040885)". Lineage: Eukaryota; Viridiplantae; Streptophyta; Magnoliopsida; Poales; Bromeliaceae. The record is from RNAcentral.